Long non-coding RNA from Saccostrea cuccullata (small rock oyster), 610 nucleotides. RefSeq lists it as uncharacterized. The transcript has 5 exons. The record is from RefSeq and is a predicted model, not a curated record. Lineage: Eukaryota; Metazoa; Mollusca; Bivalvia; Ostreida; Ostreidae.
UUUGUUCCGAAUACCAUCGGAAUGCCUCUUCAGUUUUCAGAAAAUGACCUUUCAACACCAUAAUUGUUGAGAAAGAGUUGUAUUGCGUGACAGACUCAGAGAACCAGAAUAUUUCAGAGAAGAACGACAACGAGGAGGCUCAAAACAGUAUUGAGGGUCUGUGCUAGAAUUUGUUGGACUCCAGUGUAACACUUUUAUGGACAGAGAGGAAAUCUUAUCUCAAGGGUCAACAUGUCUUUAUUCCAAGAAAGGGGUGUAUGCCAGAAUCUUUUGAAGAACAGUCUGAAUCUAACAUGGAAAAAUGAGGAAGAACAGCCUUCCAGCUUACAAAUCUAUAUUUUGACAAAGGGGGUAUAUGCCAGAAUCUUUUGAAGAACAGUCAGAAUCUAACAUGGAAAAAUGAGGAAAAACAGCCUUCCUGCUAAUCUAUAUUCUGACAAAGGGUAAUUUUGUUUUUAAUUCAGUUAGAAGUACACAUAUAAUUAUGCUCGCAUCCCUUUCAAAGAAGGGAGGGCAUAUUGCUUUGCUGCUUUCUGUCAGUCGGUUUGGUGGUCCACCUUUAGUUUUGCUUCAAUUUCUUCACAGAGGUUGCACAUAUUGAAUUUAAGUG